GUGAAUCAUCGAAUUUUUGAACGCAAAUUGCACUUUCUGGUAUUCCGGAAAGUAUGCCUGUUUGAGGGUCAGUUAAAUAAAAAUCGGUGUUGUUGCUUCCUUUCUUGGUGACGCGGCAGAUUUGAUGAGUCUUACCUUCGGUUUAGCUUCUUAAAAUUUUUGUAUGAUUUUCGAACGUAUGUUAAUCGUUUACGUACUUUUGAGAUAUCGAGUGCUUAUUAGGUUCGUGCAUCUUCAUUACCCGCGCCUAUAAUUGUUCAUUAUAUGAACUC
Molecule: unclassified non-coding RNA, 272 nt
Filed under: Glomus sp.
Lineage: Eukaryota; Fungi; Glomeromycota; Glomeromycetes; Glomerales; Glomeraceae
Description: partial contains 5.8S ribosomal RNA and internal transcribed spacer 2
Rfam family: 5.8S ribosomal RNA (bases 1-71)
Source: RNAcentral